Molecule: ribosomal RNA, 388 nt
Filed under: uncultured bacterium
Lineage: Bacteria
Description: bacterial SSU rRNA
Rfam family: Bacterial small subunit ribosomal RNA
Source: RNAcentral
AUUGAACGCUGGCGGCAUGCUUUACACAUGCAAGUCGAACGGUAACAGGGAGCUUGCUCCGCUGACGAGUGGCGAACGGGUGAGUAAUGCAUCGGAACGUACCCAGUCGUGGGGGAUAACGUAGUGAAAGUUACGCUAAUACCGCAUACGUCCUGAGGGAGAAAGCGGGGGACCGAAAGGCCUCGCGCGAUUGGAGCGGCCGAUGUCGGAUUAGCUAGUUGGUAGGGUAAAGGCCUACCAAGGCGACGAUCCGUAGCGGGUCUGAGAGGAUGAUCCGCCACACUGGGACUGAGACACGGCCCAGACUCCUACGGGAGGCAGCAGUGGGGAAUUUUGGACAAUGGGCGGCAAGCCUGAUCCAGCCAUGCCGCGUGAGUGGAGAAGGCCU